Molecule: long non-coding RNA, 628 nt
Filed under: Lathyrus oleraceus (garden pea)
Lineage: Eukaryota; Viridiplantae; Streptophyta; Magnoliopsida; Fabales; Fabaceae
Description: Pisum sativum (pea) long non-coding RNA (PSAT_LNC037255)
Source: RNAcentral
AUUGAGAAGGUGAAAUCAAUAGGUGCUCAGCAGUUGACACAAAAUCUAGGGGCUUAUCCGAUGAGGUGUUUAGUCAUGACACUCAGGGUCUUUCUGAAGUAGGCGGUGCCCAUGAAAAAAAUGUGUCUCAUCCUACUAAAGACGUAAAUCAGUUGAAGGAUGACUUUAAAGCUCGAACCCUCCAGGUAGAUGAACUAACCAAGCAGCUUGCAGACAUGAAGAAUCAGAAAGAGACAUUAGAGUCCCAAUUGUCGGAGAUGACUAAGCAGAAGGAAACCGCUGAAGCCAAGUGCUCAGAGCUGGAAGCUACCAAUGUCAGCUUGGUCCGUGAAGCAGAAUAGGCUUGGGCUCUUUAUGAGACCUUAAAAAAGUCUUUGCAAUAUGCCCAUGUGGAUUUGCUCUCUGUCGGGGAUGAUGCCUUCGAGAGAGCUAAAGCUCAAGCUUUAUGUCUCAUGCCCGACCUGGAUGUGACAAGGAUGGACUUUUCCAAGACUGUGGUGGAUGAGCAAUUGGUUGAAAUGGAGUAUGCUUCCCCUGAGACAUAGAAUUUGAAGGAUGCGAUGGUGAAUAAUCCGACAUUUGAAGCUCAAGAAGACAACCAACAUGAAGUUUAAAUUUGUUAAUGUUU